UUUAUCACAGCACUUGACGUCACACAUCACCACUACACAGAGAUCACUUUUUUUCGAAUUUGAAUUGGUUUAGUUAACUCGCUUUGCCAAAACACAACAAAUAUGGAUACAGACAAAGGUGGAACACAGACAAGAAAAAGAGAAAUCAGUCAUUGGGAAAUAUUGCAGGAAUAGGCCUAACCAUGGAGCGCUAGCCGGCUGGCCUUCCUUCAUAUUGACCACGUGCGUGGGUGCGUUGGCACACGUGCACGUUGAGUGACAUUAUAGUUAUACAAUGGAGGUAGGAAAAGUGAGCGCAUGGGGGUCGCUUUAAUCCGUUUAUUUUCGCGACUUUGUGUAUCAUCAAGACAACACGUAAGAUAUUAGUCUCUAAGGAAUCGCUGGCACACCUACGUGAUAACUGAUAUGGAAUUUUGAACGGUAGAUUGUGAGCUCUUGUAGUGCGUUUGUGAUCAUGUUUGCUGUUUUGGUGAUCUUUGGAACUGCUGUUGGACCCAAACACCUUUGAUCUCAUCAGCUUGGUUUGUCAGCCAGUGGUACUCGGGAUGCCAACUGCAGUGCAAAUCCAUUGACUGUGCUGUAUUGUAAAUCGCGUGGGAAGUUUCACCGCAGUCUUGGAAGAGACCUGCUCAACCAGCUCUAGUGUGUUUUUGGAAACCCAAGUUGAUGUGAUUUUCUCUGAUGUUUUAGCCGAGCAUCUCAUUAUUUCAUCAAUUUGUAAGCCUGUUCGAUUUUAUAAGAACUUCUUGUUUGACGUAUUGCAUGUGUCAUCUGUUAAGGAGUUUCCCUACACUACAGUUGCAUUUGAGUUUGAUCAAGUUAAAACUACCAUGGAAAAUAUGCAAACCUGGAUGAUAGGGUAGACCUUUUGAACACACGAGAGGGUGAAUCGUGGAGGAGAAUGCACAACAUACUUAAAUCACCUGUGUUUUGCACCUCUCCAUGAACAUUUAUGGUUCCAGCAAGAAUGGUAGCUGAUCCAGGUUUCCAGCUACAUCCAUCAACAAAAACAGCUAGAAAAACUGUCAUCCUCCUUACGAUGGUUGUUAGUGGGGAUAUUGAAUUAAAUCCAGGCCCCAAUCCCAGUGUGUCCGAUCUUUACGGGGCUUGUGGGAUCAUAGAUAAAGGGAGAGAAAGAGCGGUAUUCUGGGAGGAUUGUAACAAAUGGAAGCAUACUAAAUGCAAAAAAAAUAUACAUGUGAGUAUAGGGAUUUUCAAUAAAGGUCUGAUCCAUGGUAUUGUAGUGAGCGUAGCAGCCCUUGUAGAGCAUGCGAUGGAAAUGUACGAGGGUCCUAUGCCGCCAUAAUGUGUGACACAUGUGAAUGGUGGAUUCACGAAGCAUGUGCAGGUGUCUCGGAGUCUGCUUAUAAAUCGGCUACUACAGACCUCGGAGGAUAUGUGGAACUGCAUAAAUUGUGAACUUUCAUCAUUUCCUGACUCGUUCUUUGAGAACCGUGCAUUAGAUAAUGGUGGAGACUUGGUUGGGGCCGACACCUGGCAAAAACAGUUUGAAGGAUCUGCACCAUUGAUGGGGAACCGUCAAGAGUCUACCAAGAGAAAUUUAAGUUGUCUAUUGAUCAACUGUCAAACUAUUAGAAGAAAGUUGCUGAUCUACAAGUCCUCAUAAAGGUGCAUUAACCUGAUAUUAUUUGUGGUACGGAGUCAUGGCUUAAUUCAACUCUUGAGAGUGGCGAAAUAUUCCCAUCUAACUACAAAGUCUUUAGAAGGAUAGAAAUACAAACACCCCAGGAGGGGGGUGUUUCAGGCAGUUUCAACCAAAUUGGUGUCAAAUGAAUGUUCCAACAUGGAUACUACAUGCAACUGUGACGCUAUAUAAACGGAAACCAAAAAUAGCAAAUCCAAAGCAGUCGUGAUUGGAACAUUUUAUCGACCGCCAGAUGACAGAUGUGGUCAACAAAUUGACAAGCUGACAAAAUCUGUGGCUGUACUUAAAGGGAAAAUAAACUCUAUUGUUGUUGUUAUUUUGGGAGAUUUUAACCUGCCAAACUUAAACUGGAAUAAUUACGCUGUUACCGGAUCACAAGACUACAGCAAAAUGGCUGGAGAUAAGCUCAUCAAGAUGGUUACUGAAUAUGGCUUCAAGCAAUGUGUCAAAGAGCCCACUCGGUCACUGGGAGACGUAUGUAACAUCCUUGAUCAAGUUCUUGUGAAUAACCAGGGUGUAAUUAAGAACAGUGAGAUUGUGGAAGGAAUUUCUGAGCACGACAUGGUUUUAGUCGACACUGAUGUAGCUCCAAAGAGGAAGAAGCAACUCAAGAGGAAAGUUUAUUUGAAGCAAAAAGCAAACACAGAAGGGUUAGUAAACGACGUUAAGGCCUAUCAGUUAAUCUACAAUGCAGUAACAGAAGGUAAAUUACCAUAUUUCAAAUGGAAGCACAACCAACAGGUAUUGCUUGAUCUUUUGGAAAAGCAUAUAGCCCACAAGUUUGCAUCAAGUAGAUAUAAUCUACCAUGGUUCAGUAAUGAUCUUAAAAGAGAAUACAGAAGAAAAAGACGUCCCUACCAGACAGCAAAAAAAAGGGAAAUCAAGGAGAAGAGUGGCAAGCCUUCAAACAAUCUUGCAAAGGUAUGAGAAAUCAACUCUGCAAGGCAAGAACUCGGUACAUACAUGUGUAAAUUCGUACAUCCAAGAAAAUUUUAAGGCAAAUCACAAAACUUUCUGGUCAUUCAUAAAGAAGUUUCAGAGGGAAAAUAUUGGAGUGUCUGAUCUGGGAGAUGGCGAAAACAUCAUAAGCGACAGCAGAGCGAAAGCCAACUUAUUAAAUCAGCAAUUUCAGAGUGUCUUUACAAACAAAAUUCAAGUAACAACAAAUGUCAUGGGUCAUGGAGAUGUAUGUCCUGGAAUCUCCCUGUAACAGAUUUCUGGGUGUGGAAAAACAGCUUCAGGAAAUUGUUCCAUGUAAAGCACCAGGGCCAGGUAAUAUUCCGCCAUGGUUGUUAAAACUUCAAGUUGUUGCAGAACCACUAGCACCUGUUCUUCAAGACCUGUUUCAAAAUUCAGUGAAUACUGGGAUAGUACCAUCAACAUGGAAGACAGCAAAUGUUACUGCAGUCUUCAAGAAAGGGGCACGUUCAGGUCCUGCAAAUUACCGUCCAGUGUCUCUUACCUCCAUCCCUUGUAAAGUUCUCGAACAUAAAAUGUACAUGUAUAGUCUUUACGAGGAAACAUAUAUCUGAAACCUGCAAGAAGGCUCAGAGAGUAUGAAAUAUUCUGAGGAGGAACCUUUGGAGCUGUACUCCAAAAGUAAACAAAGCAGCGUUCUUCAUGGGUCGACCAUUGCUGGAAUAUUCGUCAUCUGCCUGGGAUCCCCACUUGGUGUCUGACAUUCAGCGUUUCGAACAGAUCCAAAGACAAGCUGCCAGAUUCAUUUCCAACAACUGCAGUAGAGCACCUGGCACCGUGACAAACAUACUCAAGGAACUUGGCUGGUCAUCCCUUGAGAUAGGACGUAAAACCAACAGGUUAUUCAUGAAGUUCAAGAUAAUCAAUAUGUUGGUCAAUGUUCAGUCUGAUGGUACCCUCCAAAUGUCAGAAUCCCCACGGGUCAUACAAAAAAAAUUGCAAAUCCAUUCUCACCAGGUUUUUGACAUUACCUUCUUCCCCAGAACAGUCAGGGAUUGAAACAACAUGCCGCAAUCUGUGGUCAGUGCAACAUCUGUGUCAGCCUUCAAGGAGGCAGUCGGGCAGUAUUUUCAUUGAUGGGUUGUUUUAAAUUUGCGUCAAUCUCCCCAUGCAAGGCGUAAACCUAAUACAGAUGGUGUGAUGUUUCCCCUGGAUGCUGUGUCCCCUGUACCAUACAGAUACAGACAGACCUAGUCCUUGAGACCAUGGAGAAAGGAAAAGACCAUGUUGAGACUAAUCCUAGGAGUAGGACUAGGAUCAACACUAUGGGUAGGCAUGCCUACACUCACUGGCUACAGUACAUGUGCAUGGCCCGUUUCUGUGAAGAUGACACGAGUAACUUUAGUAGGCUUUUUUUAUGCCCACUUAGAUUUUGCACACAUCUUGCAAAUUGUUAAUCCCUCCCAAGCAAGUCGUUGGGUGCGAUGAUGUGCUCACAUGCAGCUGUCAUACUAGGCCAUCCCAUAUGAUAUAAGCCCAUCAAGGUCAAAAAUAAUUUUUUUUUAGCGUGCUAGCCCAACUUCACUUAUCCAUGCUGUGCAUAUUUGAAUUUUUUAAAUGAUAUUUGGCGCUACUGCAUCGGCAUGAUGUAGAUCAGUCAAUACUAGUCUGAGCGACUUAGACUCUACAAAUUGCCUUUUUAAAGAUUCAGAUAUGGUCCUGCGAAACAUGGCAAUAUAAACACACUGUAUACUCAUCAGUGUGAAGUCACCAACUUGGUCUGGAAUCAACUCGCUCUGAGUCAACUUUGUCUCAGAUCAACUCAGUUCCAAGUCAACUUGGUCUCGAAAGCAGGCAACUCUUGAAAGCAGGCACAUGGCUGCAGCAUGAAUAAAAAUCUUCCAAGCUACAUGUUGUUUCAACACACUUUAGCAUACCUGUACACAUGUCCUAUACUGUCAUGGGCAGCUAAUACGCAAUGCCCGUGGCUGGUUCCCUGCCCAGUCACACUCUGCUUGUGGCAAAUCAUUGGUAGAACGGCUCGCACUCUGUGAUGUGACAUUAAAGAGACAAAACAGCCGUCAGUUUUGUACAAGUGGGGCAAAAUUUGUCUGGAGUGGGAAAACGGCAACAAAAAAGGCAACAUUUUGUCCUCCAAAUGAGGAAAAGGCAACUUUUCUGCAAUUAGCAACCUAGGGAAUAGUUUACCCCAUAAGUAAUGAGUGAACAUACCCAUGCAAUUUCAGCUCAUAAAGUCAAGUAGAUGUUAAGUUAUGCCCCCGGAUAUCCCGGAUAAAGUUUUUUGAAAGAAAUCCCUAUGAAUUGGGACAGGGCGCAGUAUAUGACGGAGGAUUAUACGUCGGGCCCUGUUUAUGGGUCUACCUUUCAAUAGGCCUACAUCCAUGAUUGUGCACCGUACAUGUAGACCUAUGUAGGCCGGCAUCAUACAUGACAAAAAUGUCGAGUUCACACACUUGCUACUGUGACUGAGUUCUGUACUGAGUUCCAAAGCCUUUGAAAUUGCAUCAAUCAUGUACUGUCUGUAGGUCUAUUGACCAAAUUUCCAUUUUUCUUUCCUUUUUUUUUUGAAGUGCCAAAUGAACGCUUUGAAAAUGUACCCACAAUUAAGAAAGUAACUGCUAAUGUUAUGCCUACUUUUCUGAAAAUAAGUUUGUACAUGUAUGUAUAUUUAGAGGUAAUACUAGAAUUUAUCAACUUUGAGAAACUUCUUACUGUAUGUGGGAUGUGGAAUUUUCAGAGAUUUGUUUAAGUGUGCCACAAAUAGGGAACAGUCAGCUGAAUUUGUGCCGAUUUCUGGAUGCUGUCGUUUUUGUAUUUCGGGUUUUUAAAUUUCAUGACACCAAAAUUGUUCACAGAGGUGAUCAGUGGUAUGUAUUUUAAAGGUUAUAAUGUCAUUAUUUACUGUAACUGAAUGAAUUCAAAGUUUUUCAGCAACGAGGUCUGGCAAUGAUGCAUUAGGAAAGUCAAGGCUAGUGGACUAUACCUCCGUGUACGUGGCCCUACUCCUAAACUAGAAGCAAGUGGAGGAUGGCUUAACAUUGGGAUAAAGUUCCCCGGCCGUGAACGGUAUCAGCCACAUACAGAUCUUCACCGGCAGUGAACAUGUACAGCUCCAGACACCAGCAGUUGCGAUGAUCUCAUCUAAGAACGUUAAUUUACUGCACACCACAUUAGGUCUGUCUCUUAAUCAAAUGCACCCUAUAUACCUGCAUUGCAUUGGCACACUUUGAUGCUGGACCCCACACAUGCAUACACACCUGGCAUCUGGCAAUCAGAUCAAGCCCCUUAUUGUCAUAAUAUCUGCUCUUGGAACAUUGAUGAAGGUCCAAGCAAGACGGCCAGAUUGUGGAAUCAAAGAGGGCCAGCAGUCUACAACCUUUAGAAAAGGAGUUUUAGAUAAUGGGCACUUGUUGGCAAGAGCAGAGAUGGUAGAGAGUGGAAGAAACAUGUGCAGUCCAUCCAGGAGAAGUCUGUCUUCUGCAGUGACUGGAAGUUGUCCUUUCAAGUAUUGAAGAUGUUGAGGCCAUACAUUGGUGUCACAGACACAUGCACAAAGAUCUCCGUUGUGUUUGCUGCAUCAGAGGCACCGCCGUAAAAUGCUGACCAACCAUAGAGGGCGCUAUUACCAUUUCAUGAAGCUUACUGCAAUCACACAAAGAGGAGAAACAGAACUGAAUGCUGCCUUAAUUGCACAACGGUAAUGGAAAGAGGACAAAAAGGACUGAAUGCUGCCUGAAUUCCCUUAUUUACAUCACAGCAGUAGCCCCCCACUCAUCCAGACAAGCUUGCGUUUAUAGCAAGAUAAAGAAAAUUGUGAAAUAUAUUCUCUAAAUUGAAAAAUCCAGAGGACCUGAGAA
Long non-coding RNA from Acanthaster planci (crown-of-thorns starfish), 6462 nucleotides. RefSeq lists it as uncharacterized. The record is from RefSeq and is a predicted model, not a curated record. NCBI's taxonomy places the organism in Eukaryota, Metazoa, Echinodermata, Asteroidea, Valvatida, Acanthasteridae.